GACGAACGCUGGCGGCGUGCUUAACACAUGCAAGUCGAACGGAAAGGCCCUGCUUUUGUGGGGUGCUCGAGUGGCGAACGGGUGAGUAACACGUGAGUAACCUGCCCUUGACUUUGGGAUAACUUCAGGAAACUGGGGCUAAUACCGGAUAGGAGCUCCUGCUGCAUGGUGGGGGUUGGAAAGUUUCGGCGGUUGGGGAUGGACUCGCGGCUUAUCAGCUUGUUGGUGGGGUAGUGGCUUACCAAGGCUUUGACGGGUAGCCGGCCUGAGAGGGUGACCGGCCACAUUGGGACUGAGAGACGGCCCAGACUGGUACGGGGGGCAGUAGUGGGGAAUAUUGCACAAUGGGCGGAAGCCUGAUGCGGCAACGCCGCGGGCGGGAUGACGGCCUUCGGGUUGUAAACCGCUUUCGCCUGUGACGAAGCGUGAGUGACGGUAAUGGGUAAAGAAGCACCGGCUAACUACGUG
This 468-nucleotide ribosomal RNA is filed under the name uncultured bacterium. RNAcentral describes it as "partial 16S ribosomal RNA". It matches the Rfam family "Bacterial small subunit ribosomal RNA", at positions 28 to 507 of the family's 1533-position model. The record is from RNAcentral.